Molecule: ribosomal RNA, 405 nt
Filed under: Azadinium dalianense
Lineage: Eukaryota; Dinophyceae; Gonyaulacales; Amphidomataceae
Description: partial small subunit ribosomal RNA
Rfam family: Eukaryotic small subunit ribosomal RNA
Source: RNAcentral
GCUUGUCUCAAAGAUUAAGCCAUGCAUGUCUAAGUAUAAACAACUUUAUACUGUGAAACUGCGUACAGCUCAUUAUAUCAGUUAUAAUUUAUUUGAUGGUGAUUUACUACAUGGAUAACCGUGGUAAUUCUAGAGCUAAUACAUGCACCCGUGCCCGACUUUGUGGAAGGGUUGUGUUUAUUAGUUACAGAACCAGCCCAGGCUCUGCCUGGUCUUGUGGUGAUUCAUAAUAACCGAACGAAUCGUAUGGCAUCAGCUGGCGAUGAAUCAUUCAAGUUUCUGACCUAUCAGCUUCCGACGGUAGGGUAUUGGCCUACCGUGGCAAUGACGGGUAACGGAGAAUUAGGGUUCGAUUCCGGAGAGGGAGCCUGAGAAACGGCUACCACAUCUAAGGAAGGCAGCAGG